GCAGAUCUGAGCCUGGGAGCUCUCUGC
RNAcentral lists this unclassified non-coding RNA (27 nucleotides) under Human immunodeficiency virus 1. RNAcentral describes it as "TRANS-ACTIVATION RESPONSE ELEMENT from Human immunodeficiency virus 1 (PDB 6XH0, chain D)". Lineage: Riboviria; Pararnavirae; Artverviricota; Revtraviricetes; Ortervirales; Retroviridae. The record is from RNAcentral.